This 674-nucleotide ribosomal RNA is filed under the name Anamylopsora pulcherrima. RNAcentral's name for it is "SSU rRNA". It matches the Rfam family "Eukaryotic small subunit ribosomal RNA", at positions 185 to 868 of the family's 1831-position model. The record is from RNAcentral. Lineage: Eukaryota; Fungi; Ascomycota; Lecanoromycetes; Baeomycetales; Anamylopsoraceae.
GACUUCGGGAGGGGUGUAUUUAUUAGAUAAAAAACCAAUGCCCUCCGGGGCUCCUUGGUGAUUCAUAAUAACUCAACGAAUCGCAUGGCCUUGCGCCGGCGAUGGUUCAUUCAAAUUUCUGCCCUAUCAACUUUCGAUGGUAGGAUAGUGGCCUACCAUGGUUUUAACGGGUAACGGGGAAUAAGGGUUCGGCUCCGGAGAGGGAGCCUGAGAAACGGCUACCACAUCCAAGGAAGGCAGCAGGCGCGCAAAUUACCCAAUCCCGACACGGGGAGGUAGUGACAAUAAAUACUGAUGUGGAGCUCUUUAGGGUUUCACAAUUGGAAUGAGUACAAUUUAAAUCCCUUAACGAGGAACAAUUGGAGGGCAAGUCUGGUGCCAGCAGCCGCGGUAAUUCCAGCUCCAAUAGCGUAUAUUAAAGUUGUUGCAGUUAAAAAGCUCGUAGUUGAACCUUGGGCCUGGCUGACCGGUCCGCCUCACCGCGAGCACUGGUUCGGCCGGGCCUUUCCUUCUGGGGAGCCGCAUGCCCUUCACUGGGUGUGCCGGGGAACCAGGACUUUUACUUUGAAAAAAUUAGAGUGUUCAAAGCAGGCCUAUGCUCGAAUACAUUAGCAUGGAAUAAUAGAAUAGGACGUGCGGUUCUAUUUUGUUGGUUUCUAGGACCGCCGUAAUGA